UACGUAGGGGGCGAGCGUUGUCCGGAAUUAUUGGGCGUAAAGCGCGUGUAGGCGGCCCUGUAAGUCGGUUGUGAAAGCCUGGAGCUCAACUCCAGAAUUGCAUCCGAUACUGCAGGGCUUGAGGCAGGUAGAGGAAAGUGGAAUUUCCGGUGUAGCGGUGGAAUGCGCAGAUAUCGGAAGGAACACCGAUGGCGAAGGCAGCUUUCUGGGCCUUGCCUGACGCUGAGACGCGAAAGCGUGGGGAGCAAACAGG
RNAcentral lists this ribosomal RNA (253 nucleotides) under uncultured bacterium. Its description in RNAcentral is "partial 16S ribosomal RNA". It matches the Rfam family "Bacterial small subunit ribosomal RNA", at positions 524 to 776 of the family's 1533-position model. The record is from RNAcentral.